Molecule: long non-coding RNA, 788 nt
Filed under: Olea europaea subsp. europaea
Lineage: Eukaryota; Viridiplantae; Streptophyta; Magnoliopsida; Lamiales; Oleaceae
Source: RNAcentral
CUUGAUCCUUUCGCAUUGCAUGUCUAUAGACGUUGGUGAAAUUCCACAUUCACCCGGCUCACAAUGAGGUGUUUGUUUAUCUAUUUCGAGCAUUUUUAAGUAGAUUUUAUUAUAAUAAACAUUUUUGAAAGGUUUACAUUUUUGACGAUUAUGUGGUUCAAGUGUAAAAUUAUUUUAUUGGGAGUAUGUAUAGUUGAAAAUGAGUACAAAAAAAGGAGUUUUAAGGAAUUUGUAUCAAAAAUUUCUUUAUCUUUAAUCGACUUUAACAUGCCCUUACCUCACUUCUAUGAGAUCAUUAAUUUUGAAACUCAAUUGCUUGUUUGAGCUAUAUAUGGAUCGACUAGCUAGAUUGAGCAUAUUGUACUGUAAUACCAUGUUAAGUCCUAGUUAGUAAAGAAGAGUAGUCUAAUCUCUUACAUUUUUAUUUAUUUCUAUCAAAAAUCUAGGAUACGACAUUUCAAUUUGAAUAAAUAUGAUAGAUACUCGAAUAUCUUUUACAUUGAUAUGUUUAUUUUUUCUUAUUCUCUACAAUAGUUUAGCUUUCUAUGGACAUCCUUUGAAAUCAACGAAAUAAAAUAUUUAUCAGGGCUAAUAAACCUCUUGGUUCUCAAGCUUUUCGUUGGAAAUUAGCUCCAUUUCCCCUCUAUUUUCUUGAAUAAAAAUAGAGCUUCAUUUCAACCUAAGCCCUCUGCCGAUUCCAGCCUAUUUCUCCUCUAUUUUUUGAAUCAAAAAUAGAAUUUUUUUCGAAGUAUUAUUUCAUCUUUUUCACCGUUGAUCUCCAAAAAAAA